GGCCCAUGGCUUGGCCGGAAAAGCGUCUCAAUGGCACUGAGAGGAUCGUCAGUUCGAGUCCGCCUGGGUCCA
This 72-nucleotide transfer RNA is filed under the name Chloroflexota bacterium. Its description in RNAcentral is "Chloroflexi bacterium tRNA-Ala". It matches the Rfam family "tRNA". From Rfam's summary of the family: Transfer RNA (tRNA) molecules are approximately 80 nucleotides in length. Their secondary structure includes four short double-helical elements and three loops (D, anti-codon, and T loops). The record is from RNAcentral. Lineage: Bacteria; Bacillati; Chloroflexota.